Molecule: ribosomal RNA, 967 nt
Filed under: Sorex excelsus (lofty shrew)
Lineage: Eukaryota; Metazoa; Chordata; Mammalia; Eulipotyphla; Soricidae
Description: partial 16S ribosomal RNA
Rfam family: Bacterial large subunit ribosomal RNA
Source: RNAcentral
UAAUUAUACCGUAAAUUUAACUGUUAUUCUAAAGGGGUACAGCCCUUUAGACUAAGGAUACAACCUUAAUUAGAGAGUAAAAUAUAUUUACAUCCAUAGUUGGCCUAAAAGCAGCCAUCAAUUAAGAAAGCGUUCAAGCUCAACAAUAACUAACCCCUUAAUUCAACAAUUCCCUAUUAACUCCUAAUUUUCUACUGGACUAAUCUAUUAAUUAAUAGAAGAAAUACUGUUAAUAUGAGUAACAAGAUUCAUAUCUCCCAGCACAAGCUUAUGUCAGAUCAAAUAAUAACUGAUAGUUAACAGCCAAAUAAAUAUAAACUUAUAUAAACCAUUUAUUAAUUUACUGUUAAUCCAACACAGGUGUGCAUAAAGGAAAGAUUAAAAGAAAUAAAAGGAACUCGGCAAACACAAACCCCGCCUGUUUACCAAAAACAUCACCUCUAGCAUAACUAGUAUUAGAGGCACUGCCUGCCCAGUGACAAUCUGUUAAACGGCCGCGGUAUCCUGACCGUGCAAAGGUAGCAUAAUCAUUUGUUCCUUAAAUAGGGACUUGUAUGAAUGGCCACACGAGGGUUUAACUGUCUCUUAUUUCUAAUCAGUGAAAUUGACCUUUCCGUGAAGAGGCGGAAAUACCUUAAUAAGACGAGAAGACCCUAUGGAGCUUUAAUUGACCUAAUCCAACAGAACAAAACUUAACUCCGUCAAGGACUAACAAAUAUUCUAACUGGAUUAUAAAUUUCGGUUGGGGUGACCUCGGAGCACAAAACAACCUCCGAAAAGUGUCUACUAAGACCUACUAGUCAAAGUAAAACUUCAUAAAUUGAUCCAGUCUUACUGAUCAACGGAACAAGUUACCCUAGGGAUAACAGCGCAAUCCUAUUCUAGAGUCCCUAUCGACAAUAGGGUUUACGACCUCGAUGUUGGAUCAGGACAUCCCAAUGGUGCAGCAGCUAUUAAUGGUUCGUUU